CGCACGGUAAACGAUGAAUACUCGCUGUCUGCGACAGACUGUAGGCGGCCAAGCGAAAGCGUUAAGUAUUCCACCUGGGGAGUACGCCGGCAACGGUGAAACUCAAAGGAAUUGACGGGGGCCCGCACAAGCGGAGGAACAUGUGGUUUAAUUCGAUGAUACGCGAGGAACCUUACCCGGGCUUGAAUUGCAGAGGAAUGGGGGAGAGAUUCUCCAGCCGCAAGGUCUCUGUGAAGGUGC
This 240-nucleotide ribosomal RNA is filed under the name uncultured bacterium. RNAcentral describes it as "partial 16S ribosomal RNA". It matches the Rfam family "Bacterial small subunit ribosomal RNA", at positions 796 to 1041 of the family's 1533-position model. The record is from RNAcentral.